This 356-nucleotide long non-coding RNA is filed under the name Cavia porcellus (domestic guinea pig). Its description in RNAcentral is "lncRNA (ENSCPOG00000039113.1)". The record is from RNAcentral. Lineage: Eukaryota; Metazoa; Chordata; Mammalia; Rodentia; Caviidae.
GAGACAGCACCUCACCACUGCGAAGACGGAGAUGACCUCUCUGGGCGGCCGGUGUGACCGGCGUGGAAUCCGGAUGGGAACCUGUGAGAAUCCCACCGGAACUGCAGAACAACCCACUCCAGACGCUGCGCUCCAGCGAACCCUCCAUGCCAGGCAGAAAGGGAUCUUCCAACACGAUAGUUUUUGUGACUUUGGAGAAGACCACAGCCCGAGGGUCGCGGCAGAUUACAGAUCUGGCGUCACCCAACUUCAAAACUCGAGAGUAAACCCUUGAUCCCAUUCAGGGAUGCUGGGACGCCAGGAAGACACUCACUUCUGGAAGCACUGCAGAACCUGGCGGGAACCAUGGGGCGUGG